GUUUCCGUAGGUGAACCUGCGGAAGGAUCAUUCAUAAUAAAGUGUUCUAUGGCACUUUUUAAAAAUCCAUAUCCACCUUGUGUGCAAUGUUAGAUCUCGUCAAUCUUGGCGAGAUUUUUAUACAUCAACUCAUUCUUUAACUAAUUUGUCUGAAAAAUAUUAUGAAUACUUAAUUCAAAAUACAACUUUCAACAACGGAUCUCUUGGCUCUC
This 212-nucleotide unclassified non-coding RNA is filed under the name plant metagenome. Its description in RNAcentral is "partial contains small subunit ribosomal RNA, internal transcribed spacer 1, and 5.8S ribosomal RNA". The record is from RNAcentral.